Molecule: RNA transcript, 2458 nt
Organism: Daucus carota subsp. sativus
Lineage: Eukaryota; Viridiplantae; Streptophyta; Magnoliopsida; Apiales; Apiaceae
Gene name: regulator of nonsense transcripts UPF3
Exons: 13
Source: RefSeq, a predicted model, not a curated record
GGUCACGUAAUUGUCAAAAUUAAUACAAUCGACGAUGUAAUAUAUCAGGGGAAUUUCGAUUUGUCUUAGCCUAGGGUUUCAAGUCCUCAACUGCUCGAUUAUUACUUAUAAGUCGUUAAUUUACUUAAAAUCGAGGUUAGCUAUGAAAGGCGUCGCCGAUCGCACCAAAGUGGUGCUAAGGCACUUGCCGCCGACGAUUACUCAGCCUGUGCUUAUGGACCAAAUCGAUGAUAGAUUCGGCAAGCGCUACAAAUUGAUUUCGUUUCGCCCUGGCAACAACAGUGCAAAGCAUCAGAUCUGUGCUAGAGCCUAUUUAGACUUCCAGAAGCCAGAGGAUGUUAUAGAAUUUGCUGACCUCUUCGGUGGACAUGUUUUUGUCAAUGAAAAAGGAACCCGGUUUAAAACAGUGGUUGAGUACGCUCCUUCACAACGUGUAGCUAAGCAUUUGUCUAAAAAGGAUGGCCGUGAAGGAACUAUAUACAAAGAUCCAGUAUAUAUGGAGUUCUUGGAAUCUAUAGCAAAGCCUAUUGAAAAUCUUCCCAGUGCUGAAAUUCAAUUAGAGAGGAGAGAGGCUGAACGAGUUGGUGCUGUAAAGGAUGCUCCAAUAGUCACACCUCUAAUGCAAUUUGUUCGUCAGAAAAGAGCUGCCAAGGGUGGAUCUCGGAGAUUUUUGGCUAAUGGGAAGCCUGCCAGGACUGGUGGAAUAUCAUCCGGAACUUCUGUUUCAGUUGCUGUUAGACGGGGUUCUGAGAAAAACAAGUAUAUUACAAGAGAUACUGCAAAAAGAACUGGCAGCAAAGAGAAAUCAGCAUAUAUCAUUGUCCCCAAACGAAAUGACCAACAAAUUAUGGAAAAAGCUAUUUCAGAUGCAGCAUCAGGAACUAAAAUUGUAGGAGAGGAAAGAGGGCUCCCUGGAACAACUGAAAUGGGAAAGAAGAAAAUAUUACUACUGAAGGGCCGAGAAAAAGAAAUCUCUCAUGCGUCUGUGGACUUGUCUCUAAAGCAAACUACAUCGUCACCUGUUAAAAAUUCUAUUGGGGUAACUGCUCCCAGACAGAAUAACCAACAAGAGGCUAGUGGAAAGAUUAUAAAAGGCAUACUUCUCAAUAAAGAUUUGCGUAAAAAUACUUCCAUGGUUCAAUUUAAUACACGUAACCAGGUUUUAUAUCAAGAGAAGGAUAAAAAAGUACCUCAUUCACCAAAAGAGAAGACUUUUCUUGAUGCAAAUGGAAAUAAUUCCGUUAAGACUGAGAAGCAGGAGAAGCGUGCAAGAAAUAAGGGUAGACCUGAGCGCGGUGUUUGGACUGCUCUUAGUCGGUCAGAGGGAUCAAAUGCAAGUAAUGAGUCAUUGCCAUCUGCUAAUUCGGUGCAUUCACAGUCAUUAGAUCCUAGAGAAGGAGGUCAAGGAGAUUCAAAGAAGAACAUGUUGGCUUCGAAGAGGGAAGAGCUCAAGCACGUUGGCAGGGGACAUCAUAUUUCAGUUGAUAAUAGUUCUUAUAAACACAGUGGUCGCCAUGGGCUUCAACAUAAUGGAAAGGAUACAGAUGGCCCUAUGAUCAUUGGGGAAGGAAAACCUUUUAAAAAGGGGCUUUCUUCUGGAUAUAGCUCUCACGAGGUGAGCUGGGAGUUGAUUUAGUGCCAUGACUUCCUUAUUAUUUUGGAAUUUUUUUUCAGCUUGCCAAAGCUAAGUUGAAGGAAUAAAUUACUAUAGAUAAGCAGAUCCAGAAACAGGUUUGGGUUCAAAAAUCAAGUUCUGGAUCUUAGAGUUAAUUGAAACGAUCAAUGAUCAGGUCUAUUACUAAAUGGAGAUACAUUUGGCCUUUGGCCAGAAGACUAUCACUGUGAUAAGUUUAAAACAAGUUUGCGGAGGGAAUCAGUAGGCAUAUUUGAAGACCUGAAUAACUCCAGCCUCGAGGUUUGCAAAUAUUGAUGUAUGUACUGAUAGUUGGGCAGAGUCCUAAUCUUACUCAAAGAUGACCAAGAUAGAAGCAUGCUGAAUGAUACCAAAAGAUUUUUGAUACCCGCUUCAGUUUUAUUCGGGGUGUGACAUGACUUGGCAGGUUGGGGUGUAUGGUAAAGCGACAUAUAAUCUAAAAUCUACAAGCCGUAUCUUGUUAGGCUGAUGAUGGUGGUAUUUUGGUUUUAAUUCCUAUAAUCCUAUGAUUUGAAAUGCAAGUAUUGUGUGGCCUAGUACCAACCAACUGUCUGUAAUUAGGUCAAGGAGAGGAGGUUUGAAACUGUUGUUUAACUUGCUGGUGAGCAUUUCAGGGAUUUGACUAUAGUUGUAACUUGUAAGCCGUUGAUUUAAUAUGUUGGCUGUGGGGAUGUGAAGGUAAUGUUUUAAGAUUUGCGCUUAGAUGGUUCGUUUUGAUUCCAUAACAUGAUAUGAUUUUUUAAUUAAAUCGUGAUUGUCUAACACAAUAUAUAUUAUUAGUACAAUAUCUUUGUGAAGGAUUAA